UACGGAGGAUGCGAGCGUUAUCCGGAUUUAUUGGGUUUAAAGGGUGCGUAGGCGGACUGUCAAGUCAGCGGUAAAAUACGGGGGCUCAACCUCCGCCCGCCGUUGAAACUGACGGUCUUGAGUGGGCGAGAAGUAUGCGGAAUGCGUGGUGUAGCGGUAAAAUGCGUAGAUAUAUGGAAGAACACCAGUGGCGAAGGCGGCCGCCUGGCCUGUUGCUGACGCUGAGGCACGAAAGCGUGGGGAGCAAAUAGG
This 252-nucleotide ribosomal RNA is filed under the name uncultured bacterium. RNAcentral describes it as "partial 16S ribosomal RNA". It matches the Rfam family "Bacterial small subunit ribosomal RNA", at positions 524 to 776 of the family's 1533-position model. The record is from RNAcentral.